This 552-nucleotide ribosomal RNA is filed under the name Triticum aestivum (bread wheat). Its description in RNAcentral is "partial small subunit ribosomal RNA". The record is from RNAcentral. Lineage: Eukaryota; Viridiplantae; Streptophyta; Magnoliopsida; Poales; Poaceae.
AUGGCCGCCUCAGUACAAACGCCUUGUGUUCUCUCAGCUCUAGUGCGCCCUCGCCAAGAACCCGCCAUCGCCGCCGCCUCCCGGCCUCCGCUUCCACGUCUUGAGGUCUCCGGCGUCGACCGAAGCAGCAGCACCAUGAAGCGCCUGCUCAGACGGCUCUCCCGCGUGGCCGCGGCAGACGCCUGCGCCGCCGCCGCGUACAAGCCACUCCGGCCCGACGCGGCCGCGAAGGCCUCCUCCACGGCCGCUUCGUCGUCCUCGUUCUUCGGCGCGCGAAGGCUCGGCCGCGGCGCACGGGUGCCGGAGGGGCACGUGCCGGUGUGCGUUGGCGAGAACGGCGGCCCCGUGGAGCGCUUCGCUGUUCGGGCCGAGCUCCUGUGCCAGCCGGCGUUCAAGGCCCUGCUCCGGCGCGCCGCGCAGGAGUACGGCUACGACCACCCGGGCGCGCUCCGCAUCCCCUGCGCCGUCGCCAACUUCCGCCGCCUCCUCCUCGGCCUCUCCGACCCCGGCUGCCAGGCCACCGACGACGACGAUGCCGCGCUCUACUACUAG